GAUGAACGCUGGCGGCGUGCCUAAUACAUGCAAGUCGAGCGAACAGACGAGGAGCUUGCUCCUCUGACGUUAGCGGCGGACGGGUGAGUAACACGUGGAUAACCUACCUAUAAGACUGGGAUAACUUCGGGAAACCGGAGCUAAUACCGGAUAAUAUAUUGAACCGCAUGGUUCAAUAGUGAAAGACGGUUUUGCUGUCACUUAUAGAUGGAUCCGCGCCGCAUUAGCUAGUUGGUAAGGUAACGGCUUACCAAGGCAACGAUGCGUAGCCGGCCUGAGAGGGUGAUCGGCCACACUGGAACUGAGACACGGUCCAGACUCCUACGGGAGGCAGCAGUAGGGAAUCUUCCGCAAUGGGCGAAAGCUUGACGGAGCAACGCCGCGUGAGUGAUGAAGGUCUUCGGAUCGUAAAACUCUGUUAUUAGGGAAGAACAAAUGUGUAAGUAACUAUGCACGUCUUGACGGUACCUAAUCAGAAAGCCACGGCUAACUACGU
This 496-nucleotide ribosomal RNA is filed under the name uncultured bacterium. RNAcentral's name for it is "partial 16S ribosomal RNA". It matches the Rfam family "Bacterial small subunit ribosomal RNA", at positions 28 to 506 of the family's 1533-position model. The record is from RNAcentral.